This 666-nucleotide unclassified non-coding RNA is filed under the name Fusarium oxysporum 247. RNAcentral describes it as "sequence contains 18S rRNA gene, ITS1, 5.8S rRNA gene, ITS2, 28S rRNA gene". The stretch from base 322 to 475 matches the Rfam family "5.8S ribosomal RNA". The record is from RNAcentral. Lineage: Eukaryota; Fungi; Ascomycota; Sordariomycetes; Hypocreales; Nectriaceae.
GCUACACACCGCCCGUCGCUACUACCGAUUGAAUGGCUCAGUGAGGCGUCCGGACUGGCCCAGAGAGGUGGGCAACUACCACUCAGGGCCGGAAAGCUCUCCAAACUCGGUCAUUUAGAGGAAGUAAAAGUCGUAACAAGGUCUCCGUUGGUGAACCAGCGGAGGGAUCAUUACCGAGUUUACAACUCCCAAACCCCUGUGAACAUACCACUUGUUGCCUCGGCGGAUCAGCCCGCUCCCGGUAAAACGGGACGGCCCGCCAGAGGACCCCUAAACUCUGUUUCUAUAUGUAACUUCUGAGUAAAACCAUAAAUAAAUCAAAACUUUCAACAACGGAUCUCUUGGUUCUGGCAUCGAUGAAGAACGCAGCAAAAUGCGAUAAGUAAUGUGAAUUGCAGAAUUCAGUGAAUCAUCGAAUCUUUGAACGCACAUUGCGCCCGCCAGUAUUCUGGCGGGCAUGCCUGUUCGAGCGUCAUUUCAACCCUCAAGCACAGCUUGGUGUUGGGACUCGCGUUAAUUCGCGUUCCCCAAAUUGAUUGGCGGUCACGUCGAGCUUCCAUAGCGUAGUAGUAAAACCCUCGUUACUGGUAAUCGUCGCGGCCACGCCGUUAAACCCCAACUUCUGAAUGUUGACCUCGGAUCAGGUAGGAAUACCCGCUGAACUAA